CACAGCUGCCCUGUACAUGAGAGAGAAAAUGUCAUGUUAGUGUUUUUUGAGCUGAAGGACAUGACACAAAAGCUUUCCCUCUUUAAUAAUGAUAAGUUAUACGUGGCGGGGGGUUCUGCUGAGCUUGAUACUUCUAAAUUGCUUAGGCUUUUUGAAUCCCUAAGGAAACCGAAUGCUGUGCUGCCUGGCCAGUGUUCUGCCCCUGUGAGCUUCACUUCUGGCCCUGGGACCCUGGACUACAGGUAACAGAACAGCAAGGGCUGAGGCUAAAUUCCCUUUUGGUAGUGGACCCUCAGGCUCCCCAGUGGAUCUCGCCAGGGAGUGCAUUUCUGCCAGCCCCCCAACCCUGGCCAUCAAGCUCUACCCUCCAAACUUAUCAGUAGUUUUGCUCUGCAAAACAGACUUUACCAUUUUUCAAGGCAACUGCAAUGCGUUCCAGUUCUCAAUGCUUCCUGAAGAAACAGUAGAGUUGGGUGACGGAGUGAAAUACUUUACUAUUCACGUGAUUUACAAUUGCACCCAAAACAACUAUCGGGCAUAGCUGUGCUUGGAAACUUCCUUCCCACUUCGAGACCCCAGCCAUUUUCAAAGUGGAUAUAAGUAACAUGCAAAGGUAUGUCUUGGGUAGUUUUGUUGGAAAGUGUAUCAUCCAUCUCCUGAUCUAUUGCUUUGUGUUGGUUUUAAUUUUCUUUCACUUGAUAUUCUGCUAUGUUUUCAUCCUAUUCUUUUCCUGGACUAAUACCUGUAUCCUGACAGCAGGAUUGAACCUAUUGAUUUUUGAUUGCAUACAGUGGUUUAAUUCAAGGCUUGAGUCAGCAUCUAGAUCUCACUUGAACAUCAGUCUGUCCACCCCAUGGCAACCAUGCUUUUGUCUUGGUUUUUAAAACACUUUUAUUAGUUCUAGUACUGUCCCUGGAGGUGGUAGGCUGGUGUGUGCUGAUUUCAACUCAGUGUCUUUUAAUUCCACAUGUGAAAUUCAUCUCAUGAGACUUUAAGACAAAAUGCAUUAGUAAUGCUUCGGAGCAGGGAUUGCAUCACUCCCCCCCCAGCUGGAAGUGUCAUCGUUACUAGUUUACAGGGUUGUACUCCGUGAUGCUUCUGUUCUCUGUGGAGCUAUUAAUGAGCCAUGAAUUCUGUGUUCUGGCAUCGGAAUGGCACACCCUGCCCAGGGGUGACAGGGAAUGGCUAAUCUCAGCGUUGCCCAUCGUUUGGUCACAGCUGCCAUUUUCUGACUAGUGAGGAAGGGCUUCUGCUUCUGAGGCCGAAAGGAAGAUAUUAUCAAGUGUCAAUUAAAUUAUUUGUUUUCUGAAUUUUAUUUGUAUGAGUCUAGCCAGGUCUCAAAGGUGACACAGCUCAUCUCACAGCACAAUUGAUUCUGCUGUUACUGCCAUAACCUAAUCAUUUUUUUGAGAGUAAAAGCAUUUAACUCUGAACUUAGAGGAGACCAACGAGUAAAGCACACCGGUGAAGAAGUUGUGGAUAAGGGCCUGAGCUUUUGCCAGGAAGACUGCUUUAGGGCGCGAUGGGAAAACAGCCUGAGCAUGUUGGAUCUUGGCCAGGCUAAAGGAAAGCAGCCCAUCGCCUGGAGGAUUGCUCCCACUGCUUCCAGCUUCUUCUAAGAGUCUUGACAACCAAAAAGCAAAGAACACCAAGGGCUUUCCAAGCCUGUUGGGAUUUAUGGAUUCAUUUUCAACUUGGCAACGAGCGCUGGACUCGAACGCAUCUCAGCAGAGAUACCAAAUAGCAACAGCCUCCUACCCUGCCUGUGCAAAAGCUGCCGCCUCCUUUCUGUUAGCAGCCCGUUCCCUCACCUCAGGAGCUGACAAAGCCAAAAAGAAAUCCUCCUGUCUUGGAAAGUGUAAGAGGCUCUGCAGCAGAAACUCCUGAGUCCCAGAUGCUUGUGCUGUGGUGAAAUAUCGGAACAGUCUGUGCUUUCCGUGGGCUCCGGGCCAGCAGCAGAGUUCCUCUCAAGCAGGCAGUGACACAGCACUGCUGCUGAGCUGCCCUUCCAACAAAAGCUCCAUGAGAAAAAACGCUCUGGUCAGGAGAAGAGCCAAGAGAAAUCGAGUUCUCUUCAGCGCCAAAGUCUGAUUUAUUUUCUCAGACACUUUCUCAGCAGAAUGCACAUUCUAUGUAUUUUACUGAAAGAUUCCCCAGAAAGAGACAGAAAUGAAAGAAAAAUAAGUUAUUAAACAUCAAGAGAGGGUUUUGAACAACCACCAAAUUCCUGUGCAUCCUCAAAGGAAAAGGAGAAAAGCUUAUGCACAUGUGUCCAGCAAGCCAAAGGCCCUAUAGAAAGGCAGCGUGCCAAUUUUCCUAUAGAUUUUAAAUGCUUUCUGUAUUGAAAUAUGUAACGUACAUUCCAGACAUAAAAAUAAAUGUUGACAUGUAUGGUUA
Molecule: long non-coding RNA, 2397 nt
Organism: Aquila chrysaetos chrysaetos
Lineage: Eukaryota; Metazoa; Chordata; Aves; Accipitriformes; Accipitridae
Exons: 3
Source: RefSeq, a predicted model, not a curated record